RNAcentral lists this unclassified non-coding RNA (227 nucleotides) under uncultured fungus. RNAcentral's name for it is "sequence contains ITS1, 5.8S rRNA gene". The stretch from base 179 to 227 matches the Rfam family "5.8S ribosomal RNA", at positions 1 to 49 of the family's 154-position model. The record is from RNAcentral. Lineage: Eukaryota; Fungi.
UCUCCGUAGGUGAACCUGCGGAGGGAUCAUUACUGAGUGAGGGUUUAACCGCCCGACCUCCAACCCCAUGUGAACCGAAACCUGUUGCUUCGGGGGCGACCCUGCCUUCGUGCGAGGCGCCCCCGGAGGCUCAUCAAACACUGCAUCUUUGCGUCGGAGUCUUAAUGAAUUUAAACAAAACUUUUAACAACGGAUCUCUUGGUUCUGGCAUCGAUGAAGAACGCAGC